CGGAUGAGAUUGUCUCCACCACUUCCGCAGGGUUAUUUUGGCAAUGGGAUCCUCACAACCACACCAAUUGCUGUUGCAGGCGAUCUAAUAUCAAAACCAGUAUCGUAUGCUGCACAGAAGAUCCAUGAGUCAUUGGCGAGAAUGAACGACAAUUACCUAAGAUCUGCCCUUGAUUACUUGGAGCUCCAGCCUGAUCUCUCAGCACUGGCUCGCGGGGCGCAUACUUUUAGGUGUCCAAAUCUGGGCAUUGUUAGUUGGGUCAGGUUGCCCAUCCAUGACGCAGACUUUGGUUGGGGCCGCCCUAUCUACAUGGGACCAGGCGGAAUUGCAUAUGAGGGAUUAUCAUACAUAUUGCCUAGCCCAACCAGUGAUGGAAGCUUGUCCGUUGCCAUCUCAUUGCAAACAGAGCACGUGAAACCGUUUGAGAAAUUCUUCUACGACUUCCCUGGUGAGUCACCAUGAAAAAUGUGCAAGCUUGACGACUGAACGGUCGGUUUCUAAUACCGAUAGAGAAGAACUUUCAUCUUUCCUUUUAUCCAGUAUCCUUGAAGAAAUCUUUUGCGCAUGUUAUUCAUUUGUCAUGCAUAAGUGCACCAAUGCAGCUGUAUGCCGCAAUGGGGUCGGGUGCAUCGCACAGUACUCAGAGAAUUUGUACUAUAUUUUGAUGUUCAAUUUAUAAUAUAAAGCUAGAUAUGCUUUUCUGCUUUUGAUUCCUGAGAUCUAUCGUCAUGGAUGAGGUGUUAAACUAGGUGUCAAUGAACAACUCGACCAGAGAGCUACUGACUCCGUAAGUUCUUCCAGGUCUGUGAAUUAUGUCCACUUUCAGCUUUCACCUGCCGAAAUGCAGAUGCAUCAUUGAAGUUGGAAGUUCUCGGAUUUGAACGUGUGGCUUUGCCUUCAUUUCUAAGAUUGCAUUUAAAUACCGUAUGGUUGGUUGAGCUUUUCCUGUGAUGACUUAGAAGCGGUAGGAAACUCGGCCUUAACCAUCAGUGGGGCCGGUAGGUCUAAAGAAAAGGGAGCGACAGAAAGAAACCUGGUAUGGAGAAUUAAAUCAUCAAGGUUAAGAGCUAAGAUUCGUUUCCCAGAAAGUUCUGCUCAUCACACAAACAACCAACCGCCAAAACUUCACUAGACUAUAACAGCAGCCAAAUUCCCGAAGAAGGCAAUAUUGACAAGCAGAAACGUGAGGCUGAGAACGGAUGCGGUCCCAAAUUAAAGGUAUUAACACGAAUCCACAAUUGAAGCCUUGACCUCAUUUCUUAAGACCGUAUAACAUCCAUGAUUUGGAAAGGCUGACGCCCAUGUACAAAUGGACGGUGGGAUGCUUCUUUAAGGUCAACAGCUGACGCAGGUCUUUGCCGGAGGAGGCGUUAUUUGUGAUCUGCCAUGGAUAAACUUGAAAUGCUGCGAUAUACCAAACAAUUAAAAGCAUAAGAUCGCUGGCAUUGGAACAAGCAGAAAUAUUUCACAUUUUAAGAGCAUAUUCAGGUGCCAGAUUUUCUGUCUUUGUAUAAACCUUCAUCACUGUCCUUUCAACUCAGAAACCCCUCAAACCACCAAAGAGAAUUAACACAAAAACUCCUCCUACUAAUGGUAACAGCUAACUUGCGAAGAAAGAGAAAGCCGAAGCUAUCAAUGAAUCUGGAAGCUCUCACUUUGGAUUGUUCAAGGCCUGCCGACAUGCUUAGAGCCUUUCUACAUGUAUGAGGAGAAAUUGAUGCCAAUUACAGACAUUAACCGCCAUGUCAUUGCCCGUGACAAAUAUUGCUUUUUCCUCUCAUUUCAGCUUUUAGGCAUUAUUUGUCUCUAAUGUUCCAAAAGAGAUGGUGUAGUAGAUAGCAAAGGAGUGUGAAGGGCUAACCGGGAUUACUCUGUGUUCACUGGCUUACUCUUCACAGAUAAUGAAGGUUAACCACACAAUUGGCGAAGUUCUACACAGUCGUCUCCUAGUUCUUCUUUUCUAACUUAAGUGCAAAACCUAGACAAUGUUGAUCAAGAGUAUCAAGUAGAAAUCUAAUCUUUCAAGUAUUAUACAUAAAGAUGGUUUCAAAAAGUAGCUCUAGGGUUGCACAUGACAAAAUUUAUGUUUCUCUAUUUCUUUAUUUUUAUGUUUACUGGAAUAGGUAUGGAACAGAAAUCUGUUUAAUAACAUAAUUUCAUUUUUCUAUUUCUGGAAUAGAUUUCUAUUCCAGAAGUAAAUUUAGAGCAAAAAUUAAAAAUUAAAAUUUUUAGCUUUUUUAUUUAUGGAACAAAAGUGAGAAGUCCUUGCCCAUCAAGAAGGAAGUGGCCCAACAGAGGUUUUCUCCCCAACAUCUAUUGCGUUAAGGCAAAUUGCAUCUAGCCGCCCAAAAGAGAGCAAUACUAGCCAUAACAGGACAAUAAAAAAAUAGAUGAUCCAUGGAUUGAUCAAGUGCAUCCUUGGUAUAUGUUGUCUUGUAAAUCUCAUAGGAUUGAUCCAAAUGUUUACAUAGUUAGGGUUUUCUUUUUAAGAUUUAAAGUAAUAUUAAGAUCUUACAUUUGCCCCCUUUCUCUUUCCGAGAGCGUUGAAAAGGCUACACCUAAUUAUCGAUGAACUUCAGAAAUUAAAUCGGAUGCUAUUCAGAAUUCAUCGUCUAGAAUAAUUUAUGAUAGAUGAAAGAUUAAAUUUUCUUCGAGGAUUGUUUAUCCAAGUGGAUGUGGGAGAUCCUAAACCCACUCAAACCGUGCGCCGAGUCCAGCAGCUCAUCAAGCCCAAGUUUAUUCUAGAUAUAAUCUGUUUGCUUUCUUUAAGAAAAAAUAACCACAUUUCGUAAUUUAAGAAAAGAAAAAGUACAAUAAAAUAGUUCUUCUAAAGACUCUGAUCUUAACUAGGAUGACAUUAUUAACUAUUUUAUUGUGCUUUUUCAUAAAUGGUCCUUACUUAACCGUUUAUCAUAAAUGGUCCUUACUUAUAUGCGGAAACUCUAUCAAAACUAACCUUAACAUCACUUGUUGACUAAUGUUAUAGAUGCAGCUGUUGUGCCUCUAAUGUUUAUAUUGAAUGGAGCAUUCCGCAAGAGUGCCUUACCCUACUAAAGUGAUUUGCAAGGGAAAAUAGCGACUACUAAGACAAAAAUAUGAUAGAGUCUGGUUGAAUGUUUCAAUAUGACCCAAUUGUUCCAUUGUCUACAUUCAUUUGUGUGAAAUAUAAAAUAUCCAAGUAUUUAGUCUCCACUAAUCUAUGUGAAUGUACAUAAAUCACUACAUCCACAUAUGUUGACUAAGAUUCUCUACAUAUAGAGUGGUCAGUAGAGACACCUCCCCAAUUGUUAUUCAAAGUAAGGAAAUGUGCACCUUUCUCAAAUGCUUGUUGAUUUUUUUAACCAAACCGUCAAAGGUAAAAACUAAUGAGUAUUACACAACUUUAUACAAAAAAAUCCGAAAUUUAAGUGGUUAGAUAAUGACAUAAAUUAAAUUAAAGAGAUGCUCUAGUCAUGACUAAUCCCUGUCCAAGCUCAAGAUUUUAACCCUUCGACCCGUGCUAUAUCUUUGGGCUAGGAUUAAGAACAUUAGAAGUUUGAUUUCUUUGACAAAGCCAUGACACGAGACAUGGCAAACAGCAAAGGGCAAAGAGCAAAGGCAUGCCGAACUCUCCCAAAAGGCCCACCCCCAAGGGCCCAGCAACGGCCCACAGGCCCAUCCCGGUUUAGCCCUCUGCCUCUCGCCCUAUGAAAGCCCAAUCAAAAACUCCAGCCACAAAACCACGUACUUAGAUAUGAUUUAAAGUGAUCAAAAACCCUCAUGGAUGUGCCUAUUCACCUUUGUAAAAUUCACCUUUGUAAACUCAUUUAUAGUUAAUCAAUCCUCAUAUCCCUAGAUACUCCGAGUGCAUCGCCUAUUUCGAUAUGACCAAACCGUGACUCAUUGUGACGAUACAGAAGGAUGAACAAUAAAAGUAAAAUAAAUAUGAAAAAAUCAUUUACUCUCUCUUUUUCUGAGCAAUUUUACUGGGUAAUCAUCGACAUGUUUAUUAUGUCUACAGAAAUUUGGUUUGAGAACUAAAUUGAAAAAACAUGGAUUUUACUAGUAUAAUAGAUUUUUAGGUACGGUGAAAAUAACAAUUUACUGUGAGUCACAAUUUUUUGAAUGAAUGAAUCCCAAAAAAGAAUUUAUAAUUAUUUAUAAUUUAAUUUUUUGUGAUAAAAAAAUAUAUUAUUAAUAUCACGCACUCAUUUUUCAGAGAAGAUAUGUUCGUUACGUUUCGGGACCGACAAGACAACGCACUCACUUUUCGGAUAAGACAUUUUCAUUACGUUUCGGGACCGACAACAUUUUUCAGAGAAGAUAUUUUCGUUACGUUUCGGGACCGACAACUGACAGCCCAUGUGAACGAACGGAUACAAGCAGGUACGCCCGCUCCUACUCUGGCGGGGGGGUAAAGCUAUGUCCGUGCAAUGGGCAGCAAUCCCAGACGGGGACCAAGAGCCCCAGAGCUAGGACGGCGGUGAAGACGACGGAUCUUGCACGCCUUUUCUUCGUCAAUUGAAAAAACUCUAUUAUCUCUUUCUCUCUCCAUCAUCCUCUUGAGUUUUUUCUGCACUGCAGCACCGACAGCGUUCGCCUCCACUGAAGCUCGCAGGUGAUUCUUGGUAUGUUCGCAGGAAACACUUUGUGUAAGCGGACAGCUCUUGCGUUUCUCCCUCUAUCUUCCUUUGUUCGCAUUUCAUCUGGACACGUUGUCAGUUCCCUUGCCGCCGUUUGUAGGCAGAUCACGUCGAGGUAUCACAGGUGGUCGAUGCCUUCAACUUGUGUUUUUAUUUUUUUACUUUUUCAAAGACCCUUUUGUUGAGCAUGGCAACGAAUUUGUGAGUCAAAUCAUUGCAAGAAUUUCCGUUUCGUUUCGCGUUUUUUGACUGGAGUUGACCUGUUCAAUGAACUCCCAACGCAGUCUUCCUCUUCCAGCUAAUUAUUUUCUUAGAAAAAUUGUGAAUUUUGAUUAGUGGGGGUUGGUCUUGUGGCGUCUUGGUCCCUCUCAUCGGCUCAUUGAUCCCUUGGUCUCCCGACUCGUACAUCUGCGGACCAUUCGAUUAUCCUCUUAAAUUGCUCAUCACAAUCUGCAUCAGAAACAUUGAGAAAGAACCUCGAUUAACCAAGAGUAUCGUGACCCAUGAAGCACAGUAAAAUUCAGAAGUCUCUUUGACAAAAUAAAAAAUGAAAAAUAAAAAAUGCGAGAAGUCACUAAAGCCUUGUUUAGUGAUAGUGGCGUAGCUCUUAUGUCACUUUCAGAUGCUGACUAUGGCGGCAGAAUGCAGAAAAUAAUUGGAUAAGAUGCUGAUACCAAUAAUCAUCAUCAUUCCUUUCACCAUUUCAGCAAAGAAAACCGAGAAAAAUAACCCAAAGAACCAGACCCGCCAUUCCUUUGAAUCAGAGCAGAGAGUUUUGUGCGUAGUUCAGUUCUCAACCCCAAGGAAGCUCUUGAAAAUGAUAUAUCAUCACUCACUUGGUGAAAAAUAAGCUAGAGAUUUGUUCUUUUUUUUUGGGUACCAGAACAGAGUCGACAAGAUUGCUAUUGGACAUAUCAUCAAUGAUGCAUAAUCAAGUUAAGCUUCAUCUUUGCAUCAUGAAUGACUUUCUUCGAGGUGGAAUGCUGGCUUACUUCAUAUGCUUCGUUGAUCUGAUGAAAGUGCACCUUGCAAUUGCUUCCUCUGCAUACGUCCGGAUGAUACUGAAAAAGGAACAUAAACAAAGCCAAAACCCAUCAACGAUCUUGAUCAAAAAGUGGCAAUCUGUAACGGCAUAGCUUACAACUUUAACUACAAGAAAAACCAUUCCCCAAACCAAAUCAUCCGAUUCAUAAUUGAAUUGAGACCUGCAAAGCAAGCUGUCUAAAGGCCUUCUUGACCUCAGAUUCAGAAGCACCGCGAUGAAUUCUGAGUCUUGUAUGGAUAUACAACGGAAGAAGAAUGCGAGCAAGACUCUCUAACCUCAUCUUUACAUGCCAUCCUCUUCUUCAUCAACGUCCUUUCAUUGUUCUUGAGUUGGAUCCAAGAUGACCCAUUCUUGCCCAUCAAACCAGCAGCACAAGCCAUGCCUCACAAAUGAUCUUAGACUGGAGAAAAUGAAAAGCAACAGAUAUCACGAGUACCAAAGAUACCGCAAUCCAAGCACCCACAAUAAAUCUCCCCCUUUAAUAGACACAAAACAGCGAAAAAUACAGAAGGCUUCUGCUUGCGGUUGUGGUAUUUGAACUUGGAAGGUGGGUUCUUAAGGGUGCAUGGUAACGCUUUUGUUUCAAGGAACAAUUUCUUUUCAGAAAUAAUUUUUUUCUAUUUCUAUUCUUGGAACAAUUUCUCAAUAAAAGAAUGUAUUUGGUAAUUACAUAAAAUUUAUAUUCUCAAAAUGAAAAAAGAAUAGGAAUGUGUUUGGUAUGAUUGACAAAAUUCUUUGUAAUGUAUAAUUUAUUUUAAUUUUUAUUAUUUUUCCUUACCGCGGCCGACUGCCGGCCGAAGAUGGUCUGCGGCGGCGGUAGCAAUGGAGGGUGGCGGCAACGAUAGUCAUUGGCGAUAGCGAUCGGUCAGUCGACGUGCAGCGGCGGUCAUCAUUGGUGGGUGGCGGCAGCUGACGGCGACAACGGUGGCAGCAGCCUCAUUGGUCAUCGGCGGUGGGCCGCAGCAAGCGAUGGCGAUGGUAGUCGCAACGACAAUGGUUGGCUUGUGGCGGCAGUGGUUGGCCUAAGACAAGUAGCAGAGGGGGGUGGCGGCUGGCAAAUAAGAAGAGAAAAAGAAAGAAUGAAAGAAUAAAAAAGUUGCCGAUGAAUAAAUUUGGAACGGAAAUAAAAUGUAGAAAAAAGCAACUUAUUAUUCUCGAGAACAAUCUCUAGAAAUAAGUUUUUUUCUUCUUUCUUUUUAUUUUCUUCUUAUUUGCCAGUUGUCGCCGCCCCCGUUGUCAUCGUCACCUGUCGUGGCCCACUGCUAAUGACCAUCGAGGCUGCCGCUCGCCAGCCAACCGAUCGACCACCAGCUAUCAUCGUUGCCAUCCACCACCAAUGACCGUCGACGCCAUCGCCUAUCGACUAGCCAACUGAUCGCUGCCACAUCUGACCCCAACCACUACUAACCGUCACCAGCCUCCACUGAUCACGCCACAAUUGAUGGUAGAAAGCGACGAUCGAUGUCAUCAGCGGUCAGCAAUGGCUGGGGUUGGCAGCGGGUAGCGACGUUCGGCGACGGCAACAGAGGUUGGAGGCGGUAAGGAAGAAUAAAAAGAAUUUUUUUUUUAAAAUUACAUUACAAAAAAUUUUGUCAAUCAUACCAAACGCAUUUUCAUUUUUUUUUCAUUCCAAAAUAAAAAUUUAUAUUGUUAUCAGAUGGUUCUUUUAUUGAGUAAUUGUUCUGAGUAAUAAAAAUAGAAAUAUAUUAUUUUUGAAAAGAAAUUAAUUUUCAGGACAAAAGCCUUACUAUACGCGCCAAUGGACAGGAUGGAAUGGAAACGCGCUUUAAUAGGAAGGGACGAGACGUUGAGAGCAGGAAAGGAGACGACCCUUCGCUAGGCUUGACUGGCACUGUGAAUGUUGAUUUGACGCUGCCUAUGGGCAGCCUCCAUUAUUGUUGUUUAAUGAUGACUUCGCUUUUAAUCUUGGGUGCCAUUUACUAUUUAAAUAAGGCAAACCGCACAUAUCUCAACAUGCUUUUACCAUUCAAGAAAGAGAGAGAUGUUGAGUUGUCAGUACAGAUAAUGGUAGUGACAUGGAAUUGAUAUCAAGGUAGAAUUUGGCACAUUGCUUUUGUGAAUCAACUUUCUGAAUAAUUAUUUUAAAGAGAUGAUAGAGUAAAAGAGGAAUUUAACAUAUAGGAUCCAAUCUUGUAACAUGAGAGAUGUGGGAUUGAAUUUGAUAUUAGCUUUUUAUCUGGUUACGAAUGAGGACUUUUGCUACGGACUUAUUUGGGGUAUAUAGUAAUUCCUACCACCUUCUUAAUAAGAUUGAACCUUUAGUUAUUUUAAGGCAUCAUGAUCGUUUAGUUCAUUUUUUUUAUUAAUUAAUGCCGUUAACCAACUUCAUGUUUACCACAUUGUCAACUUCUAAUACGAACAAACUUGUUCGGUCUUUUAUAUGCAAACAAUCGUAUUCAUUCACAAGCAUUCACAUGUUUGGUUGUGCUUUGAAUUGGCUUGAUAUUUUCUCUAACCUUCAUUUGGAGUGUCUUCUCCAAAAAAAUUUGUCAUUUGAACAGAAUAGUUUACCGACCAAAAAAAAGAAAAAGAACGGACUAGUUUGGAGCACAUUCAUAUGAUGGACCCAAAUUUUCUCAUCUUAGAAUUAAUGAACAAAGGGGGAAAGGUGGAAUGCAAGUAGAGAGUUAGAUAGAGGGGGAAUCAUCAAAGGAAUCGACAAGUUUUCUGGUCAUACUUGACUAUUCCAAAUGAGAUUUUAUAACCACUGGGAUUCACCCCAGUGGCCACUCUUCCAAUAUGGAAGGGGGAGAUGAGGGGUUCAAAUCCCCACAUUCUCAGGGGGAUGGGGUGAGGUCGCGUAAGUUUCAGAAAUGGGUUUCGACUCCCACACUCUACAAGAGGCAGGGCAAAAGUCUGAGAGUAAGUAUAGAGUAGGAAUAGAGUAGGACUAAUAAAAAAAAAAUGAGAUUUUAUUACGAAGCACUAUCGGCCUAUUUAAUAACAUAUCAAAUAGUAUCUGAUUUUAUUAUUUUGUUUCCUUAAACAAAAAAAGAAUAAAAAUCUAUUUGGCAAAUUUUUUAUUCCUAGAAAUAGAUUUAUAAUAGAAUUACGAAAUAGAAAAAAGUUAUUCAUUUGCUCCCGGGAACAACUCCAUAAUCAAGCUAAAUCAUAUUCUUUUUUUUUUCUCGUUUCUUUUCUUCUUUUUCUUUUCUUUUCUCUUCUUUUUCCUCUAGCCAAUUUCAAAAUAUUAAAAAUAAAAGAAAAUUUGAAAAAUGUAAUAAAAUUAUAACAUAAAUUUUAAAAUAUAAUAAAAGUACAUAAAAUUAUAUUUAAAUGUGAUAUAUUAUAUAAUAAAAUUAUAUAUAUAAUAAAAUAAUUAAAAUUAUAAUAAAAUUAUAUAAUGAAAUUAUUAAAAGAUUAAAAUUAAUUUUAAAAAAUAUAAUAAAAUUACAUAAUAGAAUUAUAUUAAAAUAUGAUAAAAUUGUAUAAUAAAAUUAAGAAGUAUAAUAAGAUAAAAUUAUGUAAUAAUUUCAUUAAAAAAUUAAAAUAAAAAUAUAUUAAAAGUAUUAAAAAAAUUAAAAGAAAUUCUAAGUCACAGAAAAAAUUUAAAGGUUGUACCAAACGCAUUUCUAUUCCAAGAAUAGAAAUUUUUGAUAGUUAGUAAAUACUUUCAAAUACACAUAAACUCAUCUAGAGAACAGAAUAAAAAAAAAUGGUUAUUAAAUGCCCCCUAUAUCUCAUGAUAAAAAAAAAACAUGUUACAAAUGAAUAAGAGAUAGAGCCAUUAGAGAAAAAUGGACAUUUUCAAUUUGUGCAGCGCAAUAACGCCGACAAUCAUGAAUGAGAUACGAAUCCAAUUAUAAUAUCGCCCCACUUGAGAGAGAGAGAGAGAGAGAGAGAGAGAGAGGGUCUCCAUAAAUGAAGACAUCCAACAAGAGAGAGAGAGAGAGAGAGAGGGUCUCCAUAAAUGAAGACAUCCAACACCUUAUUUCUAUCUAUGUAGAGAUAUUUGUAAAAAUCACAAUGCCGGAAUUACUUUAGUCAUUUUUUAGGAAAAAAAUAAUAUGAUAGAGUCUGGUUAAAUGUUUGAAUAUGACCUAAUUGCUCAAUUGUCUACAUCCAUCUGUGUGAAAUAUAAAAUAUUAAAAUAUUAAGUCUUUACUAAUCUAUGUGAAUGCACAUAAACCACUACAUCCACAUAUGUUGACUAAGAUUCUCUACUUAUAGAGUGGUCAGUAGAGACACCGCCCCGAAUGUUAUUCAAAGUAAGAAAAUGUUCACCUUUAUUAGAUGCUUGUUGACUUUUCAAUCAAACCAUCAAGGGUAAAAACUAAUGAUUAUUACACAACUUUAUGCAAAAAUCCGAAAUUUAAGUGGUUAGAUAAUGACAUAAAUUAAAUUAAAGAGAUGCUCUAGUCAUGACUAAUCCCUGUCCUAGCUCAAGAUUUUAACCCAAUCAAAAGCUCCAGCCACUAAACCACAUACUUAGAUAUGAUUUUUAAAGUGAUUAAAAACACUUAUGGAUGUGCCAAUUCACCUUUGUAAACUCAUUUAUAGUUAAUCAAUCCUCAUAUCCCUAGAUGCUCCGGGUGCGUCGCCCAUUUCGAUAAGAGCAAACUGCGACUCAUCAUGACGAUACAGAAGAAUGGCCAACAAAAGUAAAAUAAAUAUAAAAAAAUCAUUUACUCUUUUCCAAGCAAUUUCAUCAGGUAAUCCUCACCGUGUUUGUUAUGUCCACAGAAAUCCGAAUCGAGAAUCUCCACUUAUCGCUUCGGAGACCGACGUUGUGGGACCAACAACGACAGUGAACGAACGGCCAUGGGCGUCCAUGCAAUGGGCAACAAUCCCAGAGGGGGGGCCAAGGGUCCCGGAGCAAGGGUAGGGAUGGGGCGUAGGUGGCGAAGACGACGCACCUUAACGCGAAAUAGGCCAUGGACUUGGAUCUGCCAAAUGAAUAGAAUGCCUCUGACAUUCAAACAUAAAUGCCUCAGCUGUAUGUAAACCUCGCCUUUUCUUCGUCAAUUGAAAAAACUCUAUAUAUAUCUCUCUCUCUCUCCCCAUCAUCCUCUUGAGUUUCUUCUGCUCUGCAGCACCGAAGCGUUCGCCUCCAUUGAAGGUCGCAGAUGAUUCUUGGCAUAUUCGCAGGAAACACUUUGUGUAAGUGGACAGCUCUUGCAUUUCUCCCUUUAUCUUCCUUUCUUCGCAUUUUCGUUUCGUGUUUUUUGACUCGAGUUGACCUGUUCAAUGAAUUCCCAACGCAGUCUUCCUGUUCCAGCUAAUUCUUUUCUUAGAAAAAUUCUGAAUUUUGAUUAGUGGGGGUCUUGUAACGUCUUAGUCAACUCAGAUGAAUAAGCACCCAUUUGGUUCAGCUUUGGAAAAUAUCCUUAGAAAAAUGUUUAAGGAGUUUUUCGAAAUACAAAUAGCAUUUGGUGAAUUAUAAUUUUAAAAUGGAUGGGGAUAUAACUUUGGCUUAAAUGUCCCUCGGUAAAAAUUGCAUUUUGUAAAGGACUUUUACUAUUUUUUUUUUUAGUUUAGCCAUUGAUGGCCAAAACAGCUGCUGCUGGCGAUCAGAUUUGAUCGCCGAACGACAUCACCUGAGCAGGUGAUGCCGCCUAGGUCGUGGCGAGGCGAUGCUACUUGAGAUCACGCAGCCCGUGAAAUCACGUGGCCCAAGCAUCGCCUACCUCAUCAUGACCAAGGCAGUGGUGGCCGCCACGCAUCCCCAGGCGAGCAUGAGGGUCGAGUACAUGGAACGAGAGAGACGUGAGGCAAAGAGAAACGUGAGUGAAGAGAAAUGGAAGAGGCAUUUAUGAUUUUCGUUUUAUAAAAGGGAAAAAAUGGAAUUCACUUAAAAAAUAAUGACAAGAUGGGCAAUUGACAUACUUUUAUUAAACCAACGAAGUAACAUUGCACCUCCAGCUCUCCAUUCCCCUAAAGGCCUUAGGAGUCCUUUGAAGAUGCAAUUGCAUCUUCUCAAAGCCUUCAAAAAAAUGACCGAAACACAAUUGCAUUUGGCAAAAUCCCUUUAGAACCUAAAGCCCCUUUUAAAUGCUAAACCAAAUGAAGCCUCACUCGCCCCCAAAAAAACACACGUCGAUAGAAUAAGCUAAGCCAACCACUUGGUUUCUACCAACUUUCUAAUGGAGACCAAGGUAUGCAAGCUCAAUAAAGACUUGAUUUCUUUUAACGUUCUUGUUUCUCUAAUGUGUUGUUGUAGUCUAGCAUCCUUUGGUUCGAGACAGAAAUUAGCAUAAGGGCGCUAGGAUGAUAUCAACGUUCUCAAGAAUGAUAAUCAAUGUCAAAGGGACGACUAUGGUACGUCCGGCUGAGGACACGCCGAGAUGUACCCUGUGGAAUGCGAAUUUAGACUUGGUGGUCCCGAGCAUGCACACCCCAAGCGUGUACUUCUACCGACCGACUGGAUCAGAUGACUUCUUCGAUUCCGAAGUGCUAAAAGAGGCGCUGAGCAGAGCCUUGGUGCUGUUUUACCCCGUGGCCGGGCGGUUGAAGAGGGACAAAAAUGGCCGAAUCGAGAUCGAUUGCAAUGCCGAGGGCGUGCUGUUUGUUGAGGCGGAGACAAGCUCGGUGGUCGAUGAUUUAGGGGAUUUCGCGACUUUGGAGCUCCGAAAGCUUAUUCCGGCUGUGAAUUACUCUAGUGGGAUAUCCUCGGACCCUCUUUUGGUGCUACAGGUGUGAUUUCUCUUUUUGAUUCUAUUCCUAGAAUUGGUUCAUCCUAGUGCCCAUGUGCUUCUCAUCAUACUUUAUGAACUUUUGAAACCUCAAAUAGAAGUUGAACUUUGAUUUUGACGGUCGUGUUCAAUGCUCAGAGAUAAAAUCUCUCCCAUUUGAAAAGUACGAGCGAGGGAUCCAAGUCGGUCGUCUUGUACCAACUUUUUGGCUUCUUUCAGCUAUGGUCUUAUUAACUUAAAAACAUUGAAGAAGACCUUUGUCUUUGACUCAGACCAGAGACAGUACAUGCCAGCAACAAUUAAGGGUUUCAGAUUGGUGCCUUUAGUUUGCUUCUAAGUUGAGAGACCUGGCCGAGCUUUCCUGACUCUCGGAAUUCAUGCGUAAAAAAAAAGACCAGAAUUUGACCCUACAAUGAGCAAAUUGAUUUAUCAAGAGUAAGCCGCUUGGAAGCUAAUGUUUGCUAGCAGUUACCAGUUCAUCAAGUAAUUGGACUCAAAUCAGAUUUCAGUGUUAUUAAUUUCGAUUGUUUCCUUUAUAUAGGUUACAUACUUCAAGUGUGGGGGAGUUUCGCUUGGUGUUGGAAUGCAGCACCAUGUGACCGAUGGUUUUUCUGGUCUACACUUUGUGAACACAUGGUCUGAUCUGGCUCGUGGACUUGACGUCAAGCUCCCUCCAUUUAUCGACCGGACCCUUCUGCGCUCCCAUAGCCCACCACGGCCUCAAUUCCCUCAUAUCGAAUACCAGUCUCCACCUGCAUUGCGAGUUUCUCCUGAAACUACUAAUUCAGCUUCAGAUAGCUCUACUGUUUCUAUUUUAAAAGUUACUCGGGAACAGUUAGACGCCCUAAAGACACAGGCAGUAUUAGAAAAUGGAAACACCACUCGGUAUACUUCCUAUGAAAUCUUGGCAGGUCAUGUCUGGCGAUGUGCGUGCAGAGCACGCGGACUUUCUGAUGAUCAAGACACUAAAUUGUCCAUUGCAAUAGAUGGACGGAUGAGAUUGUCUCCACCACUUCCGCAGGGUUAUUUUGGCAAUGGGAUCUUUACAAUCACACCAAUUGCUGUUGCAGGCGAUCUCAUAUCAAAACCAGUAUUGUAUGCGGCACGGACGAUCCAUGAGUCAUUGGCGAGAGCGAAUGACGAUUACCUAAGAUCUGCCCUUGAUUACUUGGAGCUCCAGCCUGAUCUCUCAGCACUGGCUCGCGGGGCGCAUACUUUUAGGUGUCCAAAUCUGGGCAUUACUAGUUGGGUUAGGUUGCCCAUCCAUGACGCAGACUUUGGUUGGGGCCGCCCUAUCUACAUGGGGCCAGGCAGGAUUGCAUAUGAGGGAUUAUCAUACAUAUUGCCUAGCCCAACCAGUGAUGGGAGCUUGUCUGUUGCUAUCUCACUGCAAACAGAGCACAUGAAACCGUUUGAGAAAUUCUUCUACGACCUCCCUGGUGAGUCACCAUGAAAAAGGUGCAAGCUUGACGACUGAACGGUCAGUUUCUAAUACCGAUAGAGAAGAACUUUCUUCUUUCCUUUUAUCUAGUUUCCUCAAAGAAAUCUUUUGCGCAUGUUAUUCAUUUGUCAUGCAUAAGUGCACCAAUGCAGCUCUAUGCCGCGAUGGGAUCGGGUGCAUCGCACAGUACUCAGAGAAUUUGUUUGAAGUUCAAUUUAUAAUAUAUAGCUAGAUAUGCUUUUCUGCUUUUGAUUCCUGAGAUCUAUCGUCAUGGAUGAAGUGUUAAACAAGGUGUCAAUGAACAACUCGACCAGAGAGCUACUGACUCCGUAAGUUCUACCAGGUCUGUGAAUUAUGUCACUUUCGCCUGCUGAAAUGCAGAUGCAUCAUUGAAGUUGGAUAUUCUCGAAUUUCAACGUGUUGCUUUGCCUUCAUUUCUAAGAUUGCCUUUAAAUACCGUAUGGUUGGUUGAGCUUUCCCUGUGAUGACUUAAGAAGCGGUUGGAGACUCGGCCUUAACCAUCAGUGGGACCGGUAGGUCUAAAGAAAAGAGAGCGAGAGAAAGAAACCUGGCAUGACGAAUUAAAUCAUCGAGGUUAAGAGCUAAGAUUCGUUUCCCUGAAAGUUCUGCUCAUCACACAAACAACCAACCGCCAAAACUUCACUAGACUAUAAAAACAGCCAAAUUCCCGAAGAAGGCAAUAUUGACAAGCACGAUUGUGAGGCCGAGAACGGAUAUGGUCCCAAAUUAAAGGUAUCAACACGAAUCCACAAUUGAAGCCUUGACCUCAUUUCUUAAGACCUAUAACAUCUAUUGGUAGUUUUGCAGAAGCAUGUGUGUGCAAGUGUGUAUGUGUAAAAUAUGGGUGGAUAUAAGUGGACUACAAAGGCAAGAGAGUAUGGAUAAAAAAAUUAUGAAAGUUUGUAUUAUAAAGGAAAGAGUGUUUCUAGUUUUUCUUUGCUACAUAAAACAGUCACCACAACUCCUAUUUAUAGGCGUGAGUCACGACCUUCCUCCACCAACAUUGAGUACAAAAAUUAAUAUAAAAUUACAGCUGCUUUGUCUUCUGCUUGUGCGGCUUCUUUCAGAUCUUCUGGUGGCUUCUCCAUUAAUUUUCAUUUUUCUAUUCUCUACGGCUUUUGUUGACUUUUACUUUUCUUUUGCCUUUUUGCUGCCCAUGUGGUCUUGCUGCCGACGUCAUACUAGAAAGUUCUUCAACGUUUGAGAGUCUUCUUGCCUUUUCUUGCAUUUGUAUUUACUUAGAGCAAGUUGUUGCCGCCAACUUUUUUCUUUCUCCAUUAAGCAUGAAUAGUCUAAAGCUUUUCAAAAAUGGAUCACUUUUUAACACUCCUCCUUGAUCCAUUUUUGUGAUACUCCGAGCAUGCUUCUCAAUGUCUCGAAUUUGUUAUUGGUAGUGUUUUAGUGAAUAUGUCCACAAUUUGAUCUUCAGUCUUACAAUACUUCAGCUUGAUUUCUCCUUUGUUUUGUACUUCAUAAAUGAAGUGAUAUUUUAUGUCAAUAUAUUUGGUUCUUCCAUGAAAGACUGGAUUUUUUGAUAUCACAAUCGCGGACUUGUUGUCACAAAAUAUUGGCGUUGAUUCCAUUUGCGGUUCUCCAAUGUCUUCUAGAAUCUUUCGAAGCCAUAUUGCAGGGCUAGUAGUUGUAGCAGCCGCAACUUCUGUAGUGGAUUGUGCAACUGAGUCUUAUUUUUUCGAUAUUUAUGAAAAUAUUCCAAAACCUAAUAUUAAUGCAUAAUCAGUGGUGCUCCUCCUGUCAUCAGAUGAUCCUGCCCAAUCACUAUUAGUAUAACCGAUCAACUUAGUUGUUGCACUAGGUUGGUACCAAAUACCAUAAUCAGUGGUUCCUCGUAAGUAUCUUAGAAUUCUCUUGGCUGCUCCAAAAUGAAUUUGGCUUGGACUCUGCAUAAACUAUGAUAGUAAGCUUGUCGCGUACAUAAUAUCUGCCCAUGUAGCAGUUAAAUAUAGUAGACUCCUAAUUAGGCUUCUGUAGAGUGAAGCGUCUGCUUUUUCAGCUCCAUCUUUUUUCAAUAGUUUCUCAUUCAUCACAAGUGGUGUUGCCACUGUUUUGCAAUUACUCAUCUUGAAUUUUUCAAGGAGCUUUUCUGCAUAUUUCUUUUGUGAAAUGAAAAUUCCUUCAUCUUGAUUGACUUCAAUACCGAGGAAAUAGUUCAUCAAGCCCAAGUCCGUCAUCUCGAAUGUCUUCAUCAUUUCUUCUUUAAAUUCUCGGAUCAUUGUCUCAUUGUUUCCUGUAUAUAUGAGAUCAUCUACAUAUAGAGAGACAAUAAGAGUGUCGGACUUACCUUGGGUCUUGAUGUAGAGUGUCAGCUCACUCAUACUCCUCUUGAAUCCUUGCUUGAUGAAGUACUCAUUGAUUCUACUAUACCACGCACGUGGUGCUUGAUUUAACCCAUAUAGGGCUUUUUUGAGUUUGAGAACUUUUUCUUCUUAGCCUAUUACAGUAAAGCCUUGUGGUUGUUCCACAUAUAUUUCUUCUUGAAGAUAUCCAUUUAAAAAUGGCAACUUCACAUCUAGUUGAUGGAUCUUCCAUUCUUUUUGUGCUGCUAGGGCUAUGAGUGUUCAAAUAGUAUCAAGGCGAGCGACAGGGGCAAAAGUUUCAGUAUAGUCGAUACCUGGUUAUUGCAAGUAUCCUUUCGCCACAAGCCUUGCUUUAUGCUUCUGGAUUGAUCCAUCCGCAUUGAGUUUUGUCUUGUAGACCCACUUGACGCCAAUGAUCUCUUUGUCUUCAAGUCGAUCGACAAGCUCCCAAGUUUCAUUUUUCUCGAUCAUCUUGAUCUCUUCCUCCAUGGCUUUUAUCUAGACUUCAUCUUUGGAUGCUUGUUCGUAGUUUUCUAGUUCCAAAAUAGCAAAGUUGCAUGUGUCAUAAAUUCUUCUAAAGGCGUUUACCUUAGUACUGGAGACUCUGGAGUAGAUUCUUCUUGCGUUACUCUUGGAGAGCUUGGUGGAGUUAUGUCAUGAGUGGUGGAAUCCAGUACUUCUCCUUCUUCUUGUGAUGUUGACUCCUCUUGAGCAGGUGGUAUGUCUGGCAAGGUGAUGUACUUUUUCUCGAUCUUCUCGCUCUCCCAAUUCUAGGCAGCAUUUUCGUCGAACUCUACGUCUCGACUAAUCAUAAGCUUCUUGGUUCUUAGGUUGUAAACCCAAUAGCCUUUUGAUUGGUCAUUGUAGCCAAGAAAUAUUCAUUUUUCUGUCUUUCAUCUAGCUUACUCCUUUUUUGAGUAGGGAUGUGGACAUAGCAUAUGCAUCCAAACACUUUGAGAUGCUUUGCUGAAGGCUUCUGUCCACUCCAUGCUUUGAAUGGUGUUUUAUUUUGAACAGCUUUAAUUGGACACCUGUUUAACAGGUAUACUGUAGUAUAAACUGCUUCUGCCCAAAAAGUGUUGGGAAUGCCUUUCUCCUUUAGCAUGAACCUCGCCAUCUUCAUGACGGUUCUAUUAUUCCUUUCGACUACUCCAUUUUGCUCUGGGGCGUAGCCAAGAGUUAGUUGAUGAUGGACUCCUUCAUCUUCACAGAAUUUAUUAAACUCCUUUGAAUUGUAUUAUGUGCCUCUGUCACUCCUUAGGACUUUGAUUCUUUGGCCACUUUGAUUCUUGACGUGGCUCUUGAAUUUUCUGAAGAUAGAGAAAACCUCUCAUCUUUCUCGAAGAAAGUAUACCCACAUCAUUCUUGUGUAAUCGUCAAUGAAUAGGAUGAAAUAUUUAUUUUGAUUGGGUGUAGGUGUCCUCAUCGGACCGCACACAUCCGUGUGGACAAGUUCCAAUGGCUUCUUAGCUCUCCAUGUGCCUCUAGAUGGGAAGGACUUCCUCUGCUGCUUUCCAAAAAGACAACCCUCACAAACAUCUGAAAUUUCUAUAAUAGCUGGAAAAUCUCUCAUCAUAUUUUUCUGAUGGAGAAUUUUUAGCCCAUCAAAAUUGAAGUGGCCAAAUCUUCGAUGCCAUAACCAUGAAUCAUCAAGUUGAGCUUUCAUGGCUAUAUCUUUAACAUAUUUCCAUCGAGUAGGAAAAUUCUUAUUUUCCAUCUUAACAGAGGCAAUGGCAUUUUUAUAUUUAUCAUAGAUAAUGCAGGUAUCUCUAUUAAAAUAUAGAGAAUACCCACUUUGUAUCAUUUGGCUCACACUCAAGAGAUUUUGUGCAAGACGAGGGACUAGAUAUACAUUAUGUAUAUAUUUUGAGCCUUUAUUCGUUUCCACGGCGAUGGUGCAUUUUCCUUUGACAUCUACUAAUGCACCAUUGCCCAACUUACUUGGGAUUUCACCGACUUAUCAAUAUAGUAAAUAUAGAUUCAUCCCCCGUCAUGUGAUUGCUACACCCACUAUCAAUGUACCAUGUUUCAUUUUUAUUAUCAUUUGCCGCUUGGCCUGCGUAGAAUGUAUUCUCUACACUUUCUUUUUUUCCUACAUAGUUUGCUCAAUUAUUUGUUUUCGAGCGACAAUCUUUUUCUACGUGGCCAUUUCUUUUACAAAAGCGGCAUUGUUUUUUAUUUUUAAACCAACAAUCCUUCCACAAAUGAUUUGUUUUCUUGCAAAUACCACAAGGUGGAUAAUUUUCCUUUUGUAUAGUUUCUCUCUUUUUUGUUUUUCCAUGAGCUCCUUCCAUCAUUUUUAGUUUGAUGAGACCGUAUAUUUACUUUAGACUGAAAGGCACUUUCGACUGAAUCUUCAUCUUGUGCUAUUAGUCUUUCUCAUGUGCUUCUAGAGAGCCAAUUAAUUCACUUAUUGAUAGGGUCGUCAAGUAUUUAUUUCCUUCUAUAGUUGUGACUAUGGGGUUGUAUUUUUUGGUAAGUGACACCAAUAUUUUCUCAACAACCCUUUGAUCAGUUAUCCCAUCUCCAUAGGCUCUCAUUUGAUUAACUAGUUCUUUUAAUUUUUCACAAUAUUCUUGUACGGUCUCAUAAUUUUUCAUUUUAGAAUUCUCAAAAUCUCUUCUUAGUGUUUGAAGACGAAUAGUGCAUACCUUUUCCGAUCCUUGAAAUUCUUCUCGUAGUAUAUCCCAAGCCCCUUUUGCAGUCCUUGCUCCAAUUAUUCUUGGAAAUACAGUUUCUGAGAGUGCUUGCUGAAUAAAGUAUAGUGCCUUACAUCCUUUUGUAGUUGAUCCUUUAAAACACUUGCACCUUCCGGCGGAGCCUCGCAACCUUUUUCCACGGUGUCCCAUAAGUCUUGGGCCAUCAAGAAUGUAGUCAUUUUUAUGCUUCAAAAAUCAUAGUUGUUCCCAUAAAAAAUGGGAAUGGAAAUGAGGAAGAGCUAGAGUUGGCCAUGGUUUAGUUAGUGGUAUUUGGAAAUGGUAGUUUUAGGAAUGGGUAGGUAGGACAAACGCCCAAUACCAACCAAAGACGUGACUCUGAUACCACUAUUAGUAGUUUUGCAGAAGCGUGUGUGUGUAAGUGUGUAUAUGUGAAAUAUGGGUGGAUAUAAGUGGACUACAAAGGCAAGGGAGUAUGGGUAAAACAAACAGGACUUUUAUUAUGAAAGUUUGUAUUACAAAGGAAUGAGUGUUUCUAGUUUUUCUUUGCUACAUAAAACAGUCACCACAACUCCUAUUUAUAGGCGUGAGUCACCGCUUUUCUCCACCGACAUUGAGUACAAAAAUUAAUAUAAAAUUACAGCUUCUUUGUCUUCUGCUUGUGCGGCUUCUUCCGAAUCUUCUGGUGGCUUCUCCAUUAAUCUUCAUUUUUCUAUUCUCUGCGGCUUUUGUUGAAUUUUACUUUUCUUUUGCCUUUUUGCUGCCCACAUCAUACCAGAAAGUUCUUCAACAUUUGAGAGUCUUCUUGCCAUUUCUUGCAUGCAUGUGUACUUACUUAGAGCAAGGUGUUGCCGCCAACUUUUUUUCUUUUUCCGUUAAGCAUGAAUAGUCUAGAGCUUUCCAAAAAUGGAUCACUUUUUAACAACAUCCAUGCUUUGGGAAGGCUGACGCCCAUUUACAAAUGAACGGUGAGAUGCUUCUUUAAGGUCAACACCCGACGCUGGUCUUUGCCGGAGGAGGCGUUAUUUGUGAUCUACAAUGGAUAAACUUGAAAUGCUGUGAUAUACCAAACGAUUAAAAGCAUAAGAUCACUGGCAUUGGAAAUAUUUUCACAUUUUAAGAGAAUAUUCAGGUGCCAGAUUGUCUGCCUUUGUGUAAACCUUCAUCACUAUCCUUUCAACUCAGACCCCUCAAACCACCAAAGAGAAUUAACACAAAAAUUCCUCCUACUAAUGGUAACAGCUAAUUUGCAAAGAAAGAGAAAGGCAAAAAUAUCAAUGAAUCUGGAAGCUCUCACUUUGGGUUGUUCAAGGCCUGCCGACAUGCUUAGAGACUUUCUACAUGCGUGAGGAGAAAUUGAUGCCAAUAACAAACAUUAACCGCCAUGUCAUUGCCCGUGACAAAUAUUGCUUUUUCCUCUCAUUUCAGCUUUUAGGCAUUAUUUGUCUCUAAUGUUCCAAAAGAGAUGGUGUAGUAGAUAGCAAAGGAGUGUGAAGGGCUAACUGGGAUAACUCUGUGUUCACUGGCCUACUCUUCACCUUACUCUUCACAAAUAAUGAAGGUUAACCACACAAUUGGCAAAGUUCUACACAGUCCUCUCCUAGUUCUUCCUGUCUAACUUAAGUGCAAAACCUAGACAAUGACAACGUUGAUCAAGAGUAUCAAGUAAAAAUCUAAUCUUUCAAGUAUUAUACAUAAAGCUGGUUUCAAAAAGUAGUUUCAGGGGUGCGCAUGACAAAAUUUAUGUUUCUCUAUUUCUUUAUUUUUCUGUUUUCUAGAAUGGGUAUGAAACAAAAAUCCGUUUAAUAACAUAAUUUUAUUUUUUUAUUUCUGGAAUAGAUUUCUAUUCCAGAAAUAAAUUUAGACCAGAAAUUAGAUAUUAAAUUUUUUUAAGCUUUUCUAUUUAUGGAACAAAAGUGAGAAAUGAGAAUUUUUCUCAUCGUUCACUUUUGUUACUGGUCGUUGCCACCCCACCACCCAAGGGAUGUUGAACGCUUGCCCCCGAACGGUCGCUGCUCAAGGCCCCUCGCUCGUCGCCGGUCACCAAACACCCGCCCGCCACCCCCUUAAAAAUAGAAAUUUUAUUCAGUUAUCAAAUGAAUUUCUAUUUCAAAAACAAAAAUUUUGGAUUGUUAUCAAACGCGUUUCUUUACUCAGGAAUUUAUCAGGGAAUAAAAAUUGAUUUCUAGAACAAAAAUGUGGUGAUGCGCGCCCUAAACAUCUUUAAAUUGCAUUCCAUUCUCUAUCUUUAUGUCAUGCUUGUUCAAUUCACUGAUGGAUUGUGGAUGUUAGAUAAAACCUAUGGGUUUGGUAAGCUCAUAAAAAAGAACAAAUGUUCACCCGAUCGUGCCACACUGUUCUACUUCUACCUCAAGAUUUAUGAAGUGUUUGGUCACGAAACAUUUGUAUUUUGUAUUGGCAAACUAUCAAAUACUUCUAUUUAAACUUAACUCCCACUCCUAACUUUGCAGCAGCAACAUUUAUAUUUACAUCAAUAAUCCAUUUUCUAAAGUCAGACCUUUUCUACUAGGUUCUCUGGAAUUUGGAUCAUCAACAGAAAGGGAUCGAAAGCCAUAUACAUAAAGACAUCUGAAUCUCAUUCUAUGACAAGAUGAAGCUUAUACAUCCUUAAGUUUUUCCAACAUCACAAAGCAAGAACAACAAAUAAAAUUUGCUAGUUGUUAUUGUCCAGCAAGAAGGGGUACCGUCAUGUUCGUAGGUAUGGGAAAAACACAGCAACACAACAUGAAAUUAGUCAUUUCCUGCCACUUUCCCAGCUAACUAUUGACGCUCAUAACCUUCCAUUAUAUGGUUUUAUCGGGUUUUUAACAUAAGAAGCUCAAAAUGUCCUCAUUUGAAAGAGCACAUAGGGUUCAUCAAUGGGGUGGUAGGUUCGAUUGAAUUCUUCUUCUGUGCAAUGGUAGAUUUGUUACGAAAUUGCACGUUGAUUCCAGACUAAUAACGCUCGCAAACAAUUCACCAAACGUAAUAUAAUAAUAAAAGAAUAGAAUCAGACGAAUAUGCCAUAAAAUUUAUUAACAAAGUUCAUCCAAAUUUAGGUUACGUCUCCGCGCAGAGACACUCUACAAAUCUACUAGAUUUCGCAAAAAAUUAGAAUACAAUGAUGAUCUUCUCUCAAGAUCAUUAAGAACCCUCAUAAUGAAAAAACUCUUUUUUUUUCUUCUCUCUUUUUCUUGCCUCUCUAUUUUAUUUUUUAGCGUCUUACCAUCACUAAUAUAAUAUAAAGGUGUAGCUUUUAACCUAAAAGAAAAUCUAAUAGAAAAGACAAAGCAGCCCCUAAAAAUAAUUGGCUUCAUUUAUAACAAUUUCCCACUUGAAGACAAAUAUAUCCGAGCACCAAGCAACUUUGCAUCCAUCUUCUUCAAAAACUAAUAUUUGAAAAACUUGUGCCUGUGCGAUACUCCUCAUCAAUCAACAUGGAGUAAUACCAAUGGUAGUAGUACAUAAAAUAUAUUUCUCUCUUUCUACUACCUUGGUCAACAUGUCAAUUGGAUUCUUUGAGCCAUCAAUCUUCUGUAACUUUAACUCAUUUUCUUUCAAUGCUGACUUAAUAAAGUGAUAACACUUCUUGAUAUGUUUAGUCCUUGAGUGAUAAGAUGCAUUCUUUGCUAAGUACACUGCACUUUGACUAUCACUUCACAAUGUACUGACUGGCUAUUUUCGAUAUAGCUCCUCCAAGUAAUCUUGUAACAACAUGAUUUCCUUGGAGGCUUCUAUAGCGUCCCUUCGCUCGGCUUGACUGGCACUUUGAAUGUUGAUUUGACGCUUCCUAUAGGCAGGCUCCAUUAUUGUUGUUUAAUGAUGACUUCGCUUUUAAUGUUGGGUGCCAUUUACUAUUUAAAUAAGGCAAACCACACAUAUCUCAUCACGCUUUUACCAUUCAAGAAAGAGAGAGAUGUUGAGUAGUCCGGACAUAUAAUGGUAGAGUGACAUGGAAUUGAUAUCAAGGUACAAUUUGGCACAUUGCUUUUGUGAAUCAAUUUUCUGAAUAAUUAUUUUAAUGAGAUGAUAGAGUAAAAGAGGAAUUUAACAUAUAGGAUCCAAUCUUGUAACAUGAGAGAUGUGGGAUUGAAUUUGGGGGAAAUACACUAUUAGUGCCAUAAGUUGUGUACGGCGCUCACUUUGGUGCCAAAAGUUUCCGUCGGAUCACUUAAGUACCAAAAAUUUUGAAAAACGAUCAUUUCAGUACCAACGCCGAUUGGGUUGGCCGAAAAUCCGACAUGGCAAUUUUUUAUUAAUUUUUUACGCUAACACGGCUCGCCAGAGAGUACAGUCAGCAUGUAAAUCACAAAACAACGUCAUUUGGUGUUUUCCCCCAAGUCGAAACCCUAAAUUCCCAAAUCGAGAGAGAGAGAGAGAGAGAGAGAGAGAGAGAGAGAGAGAGAGAGAGAGAGGGGCAUGGCGGUGUCGUCUUCUUCCCCGAAUAACAGCACCAGCACCAGCCACUCUCUAAGCAGAACCUGAUCCACCAUCUCCAUAUGCGCCCUCCUUGUUUCCCUCGCACUCUUCGUCUUCUCUCUCUCUCUACACCUCCAACCCCCCCUUCUUACUCCUCCUCCUCCACCCUCACCUCCUAUUUUCCCAUUGCUUCUUGCCCGAGAAACAACCUCAGCCUCUCCUUGCUCACCUAGUCCAGCAACUACAAUAGAGGCCGAGCGACGGUGGUCAAGCAUGGUGGCCAAGCGACGGUGGCGGAGCACGGUGGCCAAGCAAGUUAGGUCGGUGAGGAUUGAAUAAAAAAAAUCCUAAUUUCAAUCCCAAAUGAGCUGUGCAACGUCAUUUUUGUGAGGCCAUCCACAUUUGAUGGCAAAACAACAUCGUUUUCUUAAGGAGGAUGGAAAACGACGUCGUUUAAAAAGCUCAUCGAUUUUUUUUUUAAUAGAAAAGCCACGUAAUCAUUUUGGCCGGAAUCUCGCUGGUGGCACCAAAGUGAUCGUUUUUUCUCCGAUUUGGCACUUAAGUGAUCCGACGAAAACUUUUGGCACCAAAGUGAGCGCCGUACACAACUUAUAGCACUGAUAGUAUACUUCUCCCGAUUGAAUUUGAUAUUAGCUUUUAUCUGGUUACGAAUGAGGACUUUUGCUAUGGACUUAUAAGAUUGAACCUUUAGUUAUUUUAAGGCAUCAUGAUCGUUUAGUUCAUUUUUUUUAUUAAUUAAUGCCGUUAACCAACUCGAUGUUUACCACAUUGUCAACUUCUAAUACAAACAAACUUGUUCGGUCUUUUAUAUGCAAAUAGUCGUAUUCAUUCACAAACAUUCACAUGCUUGGUUGUGCUUUGAAUUGGCUUGCUAUCUUCUUUAACCUUCAUUUGGAGUGUCUUCUCCAAAAAAAAUUGUCAUUUGAAAGGAAUAGUUUGGAGCACAUUCAUAUGAUGGACCCAAAUUUUCUCAUCUUAGAAUUAAUAAACAAAGGGGGAAAGGUGGAAUGCAAGUAGAGAGUUAGAUAAAGGGGGAAUCAUCAAAGGAAUCGAUAAGUUUUUUGGUCGUACUUGACUAUUCCAAAUGAGAUAUUAUUACAAAGCACUAUCGGCCUAUUUGAUGACGUAUUAAACAAUGUCCGAUUCUAUUAUUUUGUUUCUUUGAACAAAAAAAGAAUAAAAAAUUGUUUGGCAAAUUUUUUAUUCUUGGAAAUAGAUUUAGAAUAGAAUUAAGAAAUAAAAAAAAUUAUUUAUUUGUUUCCAAGAACAACUCCAUAAUGAAGCUAAAUCAUAUUCUUUUUUUUUCUCUUUUCUUUUCUUCUUUUUCUUUUCUUUUCUCUUCUUUUUCCUCUAGCCAAUAGCAAAAAUAUAAUAAAAUUAUUAAAAAUAGAAAGAAAUUUUCAAAAAUAUAAUAAAAUUACAACAUAAAAUUAUAUUUAAAAUAGAAUAAAAUUUCAUAAAAUUAUAUUUAAAAUGUGAUAUAUUAUAUAAAAAAUUAUAUAAUGAUAAAAUAAUUAAAAAAUAUAAUAAAUUUAUAUAAUUAAACUAUUAAAAAAUUAAAAGAAUUUUUUAAAAUAUAGUAUAAUUACAUAAUAGAAUUAUAUUAAAAAUAUGAUAAAAUUGUAUAAUAAAAUUUAGAAGUAUAAUAAAAUAAAAUUAUAUAAUAAUUUCAUUAAAAAUUAAAAUAAAAAAUAUAAUAAAAGUAUUAAAAAAAUUCUAAGUCACAAAAAAAUUUAAAGGUCAUACCAAACACAUUUCUAUUCCGAGAAUAGAAAUUUUUGGUAGUUACUAAAUACUUUCUGCUGCGACCAAAUUUUUUCGGGGGGGUGAACCACCUAAGGUUUGGCUAAUGGAUUGUUAAGCCUAGACUUAACUCGGGCUCUCCCAAGCCCAUACCAAUUCGCGACUUUAGGUUCAAGUUUUUUAACAUGCAAUUGAUUUUUAACUAGGAGUCGCCACUAAUCUAUUUUUGGUAGGUCGAUUAGACACCUAAGUAAAAUAAUUGGAGAAUUAUUUUACUUCUACGAACCAGAGAUUAUGGGUACGGGGACUUGAUUACAUUAGAUUUCUCUAAUGCCCUUUCGGUACCAUUCUUUUUAUUUUCAAAAAUGUUUGGCAAUUGAAUUGAUUUUAAACUAACUUCCUAACAUGUGAGGUGAUCAUACAUGUGCGCAUACCACCAAUUUAACACUCAAGAAAGCAAAUGAAUAAAUGAUGCAGAACUUACCUCAAAGCAACGAAAGCAUCUGCAAUGUUAGUUUAGAAUUCACAUCAACAGUCCUAAAUAUGAUUUCUAAUUAACACGCAAUUUUUGUUUUGUUUUCACUUAAUUAAUGAAAAUCAUGCAAUAUGCAAUGCAUGCCACUAAUUUAACAUGAAAUGAUAUGACAUGGCAACAUGACUUAGCUAUAUGACCUAAGCAAUAUGACAUAACUAGCAUGUAAUCUAUCCUAAGCAUGAGAUGAUUUAUUCUAAAUAAUUUUUUUUGUAUUUUCUAUGAGAUUCGAAAUUAAAGAAAUGCAACAUUUAAAUAUGCAAUCUAAAUUAAUCUAAUGACCUAAUUCUAAUGACGGGCAAUUUCUAAUUAAAUGCACCUAACAAAAAUCACUAAAUGACAUGCAUUGUAUGAAAUUAAUUCUAUAUGACGUGCACAUGAUUUUUAUUUUCCUAAUAAGCAUGCAAUCUAUUUAGGAGAAAUUAUCUAAACCUAUAAUAUGCAAUCUUAGCAUGCAAUGACGUGCAAAGAAUGCCCUAAUUCUACAUGACAUAUGCAUAUGACAUUUUUUAUUAAAAAAAUGCAAUCUAUCCUAGAAAUUGCAACUAAUUUAUCCUAAGACAAAUUUUAUGAAAUUUCAAAUGAUCUAGCUAGAUUAAGAUUCUAUCUAAUUUAAACUAGGGAUUAAGUCAUAUUAAAUCCUAAUUUAAACUAAAACAUUAUCUAAAUCUAAAAUGCCAUUUAUCUAAAAAAGAUUAUCUAAAUUUAAAAUGAAGCAUGCAAUUCUAAUCUAAUAUGCACAAUGAUUUUUUUUUAUGGUUUUCUUUAAUCUCGAAAUUAAAAUUAAUACCUAAUUAACAUGCAAUUCAAAUAAAUAAAAACUAACAACCUAAAUGAAUGCACUUUUUUUUGGAUUUUUUAUUAAAAAAUUCAUAAUAAGAUUGCAAUCCUAAUAUGCAAGAUAACAAAAACAAACCUAGUCCUUAUUCGGAUUUUUUCUUUUUGAUUUUUCUUAUUUUAAAAAAAAAUUCGAAAUUAGAUUGCGAUUUUAACCCUAAGACUAAGAAUAUUCUAAAACAUACUUAAUCCUAAUUUGAUUUUUUUUUAUUUUUUUCUCUUAUGAAAAUAAAAUUGAUCCAAACACACGAUAUCAAAUCAAACAAGACAAUAUUGAUAUCCAAAAAUUGGCAAACCGUAUCUCGCGCAUGAGAUCGGGUUGACCAAUUUUAAUUUUAAAUCGCGAAUCAAAUCUCGGGCUUGAGAUUGGAUUGUCGAUUUUUAUAAGGGAUUGCGAGUCGGAUUUCAGGCGUGAAAAUCGGACUAUCAAUCCCUCGCUUGAGGAGGACUUUCAUGUUGGAACAUCGAUCAUAUAUUUAAGAAUAAUCCUACUAAAGAAAAAGGUAAACAAGUGAGAAUAACAUUUAAAAAAAAAUGAAGUAAAAAGAAAAGAACUACCUAAAUAAUUUUCUUUUUUUUCUUUUGUUAUACGCGGCUGGUGGUGGGUCACCGAGAGACAGCCGUUCAGAGGUCCCGGCAGGGGGAUCACCGGCAAGGGGGGGCUCCGGCGAGGCAAGGCAGGUGGGCGUCUGGCGCGGGGCAGCGAGGAUUGACGCCGGCAAGGGACUUCGGCGAAGCAGGGCACCGGCGAGGGAGGCGUCACAGGGUGCGGGGCCUGCUGUCGGGCACCGAGGAGAUGCGAGCAACAGCGAUGUGGGCUCUGGCGGCGUUGGGUCGCGGCAGGAACAGCGGCACGGCGGCGGCUAAGCGUCGGGUCUCGGCGCGGUUCGGCAGCAGCGUCGGCGGGCGCUCGGGCGGAAUAAACGCGAGCGGAGCAAGGGGCUCCGAUUUCGUCGGAUCUCGGCUGAAAACGAAAUCGGGUCAGGAGCGAUCGGCACCUAGGUUGCCGUGGGGGAGACUUCGGCUACGGGGACGCCGAGGUGGAGACGCAAGCAGGGACCGACGGUGGGCGUGGCGGGCUACGUGUGGCGAGGGAGGCUCAGCUAGCGCCGGUCACGACGGGAGCAGGGAACGCCGAGUGCUGGGUCGUGAGCAGAUCUCAAGCGCAGGCGUCGAGGAGCGGACGGAGCGGCGAGACCGGCGGCGAACGGAACAGCGAGGUGGAGGAGGACGUCGGGCUUCGCGGAGCGGAACAGAGGGUGAGCAGCGAGCUUGGGGAGAUGAUAUAGUGAGGGUCAAAUCACCUCUGCUUUUUACUUUUCUCCUCUUUCUCUCUCUCUCUCUCUCUCUCACGUUCUACUUUUUCUUUUUUCUGCAGUUUUUCCCUUUUUCUGCUCUUUUCCCUUUCGCAGAAGCUAAACCUCUCUUGACCUUUUUUCUGUUUUUUUUUCAAAGAAGCCCUCUACAGGUCCUCGUACACGGUUGCUUUUAUAGGGGUAAGAGAUAAGCCUUCGAUUUCUCCUUCAAAUCUACAUCCGUGAUACAUUUUCACCAACCAAUCACUAUUGAUAAAAAUUCAAGAUUACAAUAAAUAUUUUCUCAAAAUCCAAAUCUCGCAAAAGAUAAGUCGCAAUAUUUUUUCACACAUGUGCCCUAUCCAAAAGAUUCAUAUCCCGGAAUAAUUUCAAAAUUUUUAUUUUUCAUGAGAUAAUUAAACCACAUGGGCUUGGGCCAACCAGCUUGCUUCGUGGGCUUAGUCCAACUAAUUUGAACCCAUUCGCACUGAUCCAAUAAAUAAAAUGCCAAUAACAAAAUAAAUGCAAAUAUAAAUCUAUAUGCUAUAAAGUUUAACUCCUAAUUUCUUAUGCAAUAAAUAAAUAAACUAAAUCGUCAGAAUUUAGGUGUCAACACUUUCAAAUGCUCAUAAACUCAUCUAGAGAACAUAAUAAAAAUAAUAAUAACCAUUUCUAAGAUUUUUUAGCAUAAAUUAUUCCCGAGAAUAAAAUGGUUACAAAACGCCCCAUAUAUCUCGUGAUAAAAAACAUGUUACAAAUGAAUAAGAGAUAGAGCCAUUAGAGAAAUAUGGACUUUUUCAAUUUGUGCAACGCAAUAACAUCGACAGUCAUGGGUGAGAUACAGAUCCAAUUAUAAUAUCGCCCCACUUGAAAGAAGAAGGCUCUUCUUGUGGGAGGGCCAAAAUAAGCUAGAAGUCCAAUAGGGUAUUCUCAUCCAAAAAUUCUGUGGCCUCAAAUAUAUAUGCAGCCAUCCAAAAGGCCUUAGGUCUAAAGACAAUUGCAAUUGAAUGCUCUCUACAACCUUGUCCCACAAGAAUUCCAGCAAGUUUCCAUAAAAGAAAAGAGAGAGAGAGAGUGAUAGAAAGGGUCUUCAUAAAUGAAGACAUCCAACACCCUAUUUCUAUCUAUGUAGAGAUAUUUGUAAAAAUCAACAAUGCCUGAAUUACUUUAGUCAUUUUUUAGGAAAAAAAUAAUAUGAUAAAAUCUGGUUAAAUGUUUGAAUAUGACCUAAUUGCUCAAUUGUCUAAAUUCAUCUGUGUGAAAUAAAAAAAUAUCAAAAUAUUUAGUCUUUACUAAUCUAUGUGAAUGUACAUAAAUCACUACAUCCACAUAUGUUGACUAAGAUUCUCUACUUAUAGAGUGGUCAGUAGAGACACCUCGAAUGUUAUUCAAAGUAAGGAAAUGUUCACCUUUAUCAAAUGCUUGUUGACUUUUCAAUCAAACUGUUGAGGGCAAAAACUAAUGAUUAUUACACAACUUUAUACAAAAAUCCGAAAUUUAAGUGGUUAGAUAAUGACAUAAAUUAAAUUAAAGAGAUGCUCCAGUCAUGACUAAUCCCUGUCCGAGCUCAAGAUUUUAACCCUUCAACCCGUGCUAUAUCUUUGGGCUAGGAUUAGGAACAUUAGAAGUUCGAUUUCUUUGACAAAGCCAUGACACGAGACGUGGCAAAGAGCAAAGGGCAAAGAGCAAAGGCAUGCCGCACUCUCCCAAAAGCGCACCCCCACCCCCCCCCCCCCCCAAAAGGGCUAAUAACGGCCCAUGGGCCCGUCCCAAUUUAGCCCUCUGCCUCUCGCCCUAUGAAAGCCCAAUCAAAAACUCCAGCCACAAAACCACGUACUUAGAUAUGAUUUAAAGUGAUCAAAAACCCUCAUGGAUGUGCCAAUUCACCUUUGUAAAAUUCACCUUUGUAAACUCAUUUAUAGUUAAUCAAUCAUCAUAUCCCUAGAUGCUCCGAGUGCGUCGCCCAUUUUGAUAUGAGCAAAUUGCAACUCUUCGUGAUGAUACAAAAGGAUGGAUAACAAAAGGAAAAUAAAUAUGAAAAAAAAUCAUUUACUCUUUUUUUGAGCAAUUUUAUUGGGUAAUCAUUGACAUGUUUAUUAUGUCUACAGAAAUUCGGCUCGAGAACUAAAUUGAAAAAAGAUGGAUUUUACUACCAUAACAGUUUUUUAGAUACGGUGAAAAUAACAAUUUACUGUGAGUCACAAUUUUUUGAAUGAAUAAAUCCCAAAAAGGAAUUUAUAAUUAUUUAUAAUUUAAUUUUUAGUGAUAAAAAAUAUGUUAUCAUUUUCAAAGUAAAUUGAAAAUAUCACGCACUCAUUUUUCAGAGAAGAUAUGUUCGUUACGUUUCGGACCGACAACAUUUUCAGAACCGACACGUGCGUCCAUGCAUUGGGCAACAAUCCCAGAGCAAGGACGGGUGUUGGGCGUUGGUGGUGAGGACGACGGAUCUUAACGCGAAAUAGGGCAUGGACUUGGAUCUACCGAAUGAUAAGAAUGCCUCUGAGAUUUUGCCUCAGUUGUAUGUAAACCUCGCCUUUUCUUCGUCAAUUGAAAAAACUCUAUCUCUCUCUCUCUCUCUCUCUCUCCCCAUCAUCCUCUUGAGUUUCUUCUGCUCUGCAGCACCGACAGCGUUCGCCUCCAUUGAAGCUCGCAGGUGAUUCUUGGUAUGUUCGCAGCAAACACUUUGUGUAAGCGGACAGCUCUUGCGUUUCUCCCUUUAUCUUCCUUUCUUCGCAUUUCAUUCGGACCCGUUGUCGGUUGCCUUGCCGCCGUUUCGUAGGCAGAUCACGUCGAGAUAUCACUGGUGGUCGAUGCCUUCAACUUGUGUUUGUUUGUUUAUUUUUUUGUUUUUCUUUUAUUAUUUUUAUUUUUAUUUUUUUUUAAGGAGAGUUUUGUUGAGCAUGGCAACGAAUUUGUGAGUGAAACUAUUGCAAGAAUUUCCGUUUCGUUUCGCAUUUUUCGACUCGACCUGUUCAAUGAACUCCCAACGCAGUCUUUCUGUUCCAGCUAUUUCUUUUCUUAGAAAAAAUGUGAAUUUUGAUUAGUGGGGGUCUUGUAACGUCUUAGUCAACUCACGAUGUUAGAAAAAAAGAAAAAAAAACUCAUGAUGAAUAAACACCCAUUUGGUUCAGCUUGGAAAAAUAUCCUCAGAAAAAUGUUUAAAGGGUUUUUCGAAAUGCAAAUAAUAUUUGAUGAAUUGAUAAAUAACUUUGGUUUAAAUGUCCAUCAAUAAAAUUGCAUUUUAUAAAAGACUUUUACUAUUUUUUUUAAAAAAAGUUUUUAACUUUUUCUUUUGAGUUCAGCGAUCAUGGCCAAAACAACUGCUGCCGGCUAUUAGGUCUGAUCGCCGAACAACAUCGCCUAAGUAGGUGAUGCCGCCUAGGUCGCGGCGAGGCAGUGCUGCCUGAGAUCACGUGGGCCCCGAGAUCACACGGCCCAAGCAUCGCCUGCCUCAUCGUGAUCAAGGCGGCGGUCGUUGGCGCGCGACCCCAAGCAAGCAUGGGGGUCGAGCACAUGGAACGAGAGAGACGUGAGGUAAAGAGAACAUGAGUGAAGAGAAAUGGAAGAGACAUUUAGAUUUUCGUUUUAUAAAAGGGCAAAAAAUGGAAUUCACUUAAAAAAUAAGGACAAGAUGCGCAACUAACAUACUUUUAUUAGACCAAGGAAGUAGCAUUUCAAAAAUGCUACUUCUCAAGUCACCUUCAGCCUUCCAUUCCCCUAAAAGGCUUUGGAGUCCAUUGAAGAUGCAAUCGCAUCUUCCCAAAGCCCUCAAAAACAUGACUGAAACACAAUUGCAUUUGUUCAAAUCCUUUUAGAAUCCCAAAGCUCCUUUUAAAUACUAAACCAAAUGAAGUCUCACUCGUCUCCAAAAAAACACACGUCAUAAAGAAAGCUAAGCCAACCACUUGGUUUCUACCAACUUUCUAAUGGAGACUAAGGUAUGGAAGCUCAAUAAAGACUUGAUUUCUUUUAACGUUCUUGUUUCUCUAAUGUGUUGUUGUAGUCUGGCAUCCUCCGGUUCGAGACACAAAUUAGCAUAAGGGCGCUCGGAUGACAUCAACGUUUUCAAGAAUGAUAAUCAAUGUCAAAGGGUCGACUAUGGUACGUCCGGCUGAGGACACGCCGAGAUGUACCUUGUGGAAUGCGAACGUGGACUUGGUGGUCCCGAGCAUGCACACCCCAUCCGUGUACUUCUACCGACCGACUGGGUUAGAUGACUUCUUCGAUUCCAGAGUGCUAAAAGAGGCGCUGAGCAGAGCCUUGGUGCUGUUUUACCCAUUGGCUGGGCGGUUGAAGAGGGACAAAAAUGGCCGAAUCGAGAUCGAUUGCAAUGCCGAGGGCGUGCUGUUUGUUGAGGCGGAGACGAGCUCGGUGGUCGAUGAUUUAGGGGAUUUCGCGACUUUGGAGCUCCGAAAGCUUAUUCCGGCUGUGAAUUACUCUAGUGGGAUAUCCUCAGACCCUGUUUUGGUGCUACAGGUGUGAUUUCUCUUUUUGAUUCUGUUCCUAGAAUUGGUUCAUUCUUUUGCUAAUGAAGGUUGACUUAAUGUGGUGAGGAUGGAUUCUUAUGAACUCUUGAUGAUACUCAUGAAGAUUCAAGAUCAGUAGGAUUAUCAGAUAGAGAUAGCUGAAAUGACGAUUUGGAAUUCCACAACCGCAAUUGAAGUGAAAACAAAAGUUGAUCAGUUAAAACUGGUGAUGACUAAUUUCUUACGAAGGGCAGUCCGUGUCUAGCAACAAACGCGAAAGUACUUAACGUAAAUAUAAUUUGUUUUCAAGAACCAUAAGCUCUUGGAUGUCCUUGUGCCCAUGUGCUUCUCAUCAUACUUUAUGAACUUUUGAAAGAACCUUGAUUUUUGACAGUUGUGUUCAAUGCUCAGAGAUAAAAUCUCUCCCAUUUGAAAAGUACAAGCGAGGGAUCCAAGUCGGUAUCUUGUACCAACUUUUUGGCUUCUUUCAGCUAUGGUUUUAUUAAACAUCUUAACUUCAAAACAUUGAAGAAGACCUUUGUCUUUGACUCAGACCAGAGAUAGUACAUGCCAGCAACAAUUAAGGGUUUCAGAUUGGUGCCUUUAGUUUGCUUCUAAGUUGAGAGACCUGGCCGAGCUUUCCUGACUCUAGGAAUUCAUGCAUCAAAAACAGACCAGAAUUUGACCCUACUAUGAGCAAAUUGAUUUAUCAAGAGUAAGCUGCUUGCAAGCUAAUGUUUGCAAGCAGUUGCCAGUUCAUCAAGUGGUUGCGUUCAAAUCAGAUUUUGGCGUUUUUAAUUUCGAUUGUUUCCUUUAUAUAGGUUACAUACUUCAAGUGUGGGGCAGUUUCGCUUGGUGUUGGAACGCAGCACCAUGUGACCGAUGGUUUUUCUGGUCUACACUUUCUGAACACAUGGUCUGAUCUGGCUCGUGGACUUGACGUCAAGCUCCCUCCAUUUAUCGACCGGACCCUUCUGCGUGCCCGUAGCCCACCACGGCCUCAAUUCCCUCAUAUCGAAUACCAGUCUCCACCUGCAUUGCGAGUUUCUCCUGAAACUACUAAUUCAGCUCCAGAUAGCUCUACUGUUUCUAUUUUAAAAGUUACUCGGGAACAGUUAGACGCCCUAAAGACACAGGCAGUAUUAGAAAAUGGAAACACCACUCGGUAUACUUCCUAUGAAAUCUUGGCAGGUCAUGUCUGGAGAUGUGCGUGCAGAGCACGCGGACUUUCUGAUGAUCAAGACACUAAAUUGUUCAUUGCAACAGAUGGACGGAUGAGAUUGUCUCCACCACUUCCGCAGGGUUAUUUUGGCAAUGGGAUCUUUACAAUCACACCAAUUGCUGUUGCAGGCGAUCUCAUAUCAAAACCAGUAUCGUAUGCGGCACAGAAGAUCCAUGAGUCAUUGGCGAGAACGAACGACGAUUACCUAAGAUCUGCCCUUGAUUACUUGGAGCUCCAGCCUGAUCUCUCAGCACUGGCUCGCGGGGCACAUACUUUUAGGUGUCCAAACCUGGGCAUUACUAGUUGGGUUAGGUUGCCCAUCCAUGACACAG
RNAcentral lists this long non-coding RNA (33621 nucleotides) under Eucalyptus grandis. RNAcentral describes it as "long non-coding RNA (EGRA_LNC003874)". The record is from RNAcentral. Lineage: Eukaryota; Viridiplantae; Streptophyta; Magnoliopsida; Myrtales; Myrtaceae.